UAGAUUGAUAUGGUGUACGGUGUAGCAU
RNAcentral lists this small RNA (28 nucleotides) under Bombyx mori (domestic silkworm). RNAcentral describes it as "ovarian small RNA-22176". The record is from RNAcentral. Lineage: Eukaryota; Metazoa; Arthropoda; Insecta; Lepidoptera; Bombycidae.